Molecule: long non-coding RNA, 4439 nt
Filed under: Homo sapiens (human)
Lineage: Eukaryota; Metazoa; Chordata; Mammalia; Primates; Hominidae
Description: PREDICTED lncRNA (TCONS_00028506)
Source: RNAcentral
UAUUUUAGGUUCGGGAUACAUGCACAGGUUUGUUUUAUAGAUAAAUUGCUUGUCAUGUGGGUUUGUUGUACAAAUUAUUUUGUCACCCAGAUAGUAAGCAUAGUACUUGACAGGUAUUUUUUCUGAUCCUCUCCCUCCUCCCACCCUCUAGCCUCAAGUAGGUCCCAGUGUCUGUUGUUCUCUUCUUUGUGUCCAUGUGUUCUCAAUGUUUAGCUCCCACUUACAAGUCAGAACAUGCAGUAUUUGGUUUUCUCUUCCGCAUUAGUUCACUUAGGAUAAAGGCCUCCAGCUCCAUCCAUGUUGCUACAAAGGACAUGAUCUCUUUCUUUUUUAUGGCUGCAUAGUAGUCCAUGGUGUAUAUGUACCGUAUUUUCUUCAGUCUACUGGUGAUGGGCAUUUAGGUUGAUGCCAUGUCUUUACGAUUGUGAAUAGUGCUGCAGUGAACAUACAUGUACAUAUAUCUUUAUGGUAGAAUGAUUUAUAUUCUUUUGGGUAUAGACCCAAUACUGGGAUUGUUGGGUCGAAUGGUAAUUCUGUUUUAAGUUCUUUGAGAAAUCGCCACACUGCUUUCCGCGGUUACUGAACUAAUUUACAUUCCCACCAGCAUUGUAUAAGCAUUCCCUUUUCUCCACAACCUCACCAGAAACCAGCAUCUGUUAUUUCUUGACUUUUAUUAAUAGCCAUUCUGACUGGUGUGAGAUGAUAUCUCAUUGUAGUUUUGAUUUGGGUUUCUCUAGUGAUUAGUGAUGUUGAGUAUUUUAUAUGCUUGUUGGCCAUGUAGCUUCUUUUGGCUAGGGACCUGUGAGUCUCCCUAGGUUUCUUGCACUUACUAAGCCUUCAACAAAUGGUAGAAGAGUCAAUUCUCUUGGUGUUUCAGAAGAAAACAAUAUCACAGCCCCUCUCCACUGGAUAAUACUAUAAAUCUUAAAAUGAAUUUUCAUUCAGAGUAAUAAACACAAGCCAAAGAACUUUGUAUAACAUCCGUCAACUUUUUGUGUUAUCUAUUUCUUUUCCAAAACAUUGCCUCUGGUUUUAAAGGUAACUGCCCACAGUGUUUCACUAAUAACAUUUUAAGCAUUACAAGUUCAACACUGAAGGUCAAAUGACAACGAACUUUCAGUGCUUCCAAAAGCAGGGGCAGAGGGCAACUGCUGAGGGGGGCAUUGUAUAGCCUAACCUUCCCAGAAUUUGAUUUAAAAGUAUGAUCUUCACAGCGUUGGCCAGCAAUAUCAUGGUCACUCCCUACGUCAUUCCCUGGGAGAAAAACAACCCUAGGUUACCUAAACAAUGUUGGCGAAGACCAAAUAUUUAUUAACAUCCUAAGCCGCCCCAUAAUCAAGCCAAUGCUGAUAGGGACAAAGAAGGUGCCAUGUGCAGUUUUUCUCCAUGUCCCCACAAUAUCUGCUCUGAAUUUUAAAAGGCAAUUACUGGGGGAGAAGGAAGCCUAUAUAUUAUGUAGGAUCCAAGUCUCAAACUGCUUUCCUAGGGAGUGUGAGGUUCUUGGAGAUUAAGUGCAGUACCUUUCUGUCUUGAGCCUUGUAGGCUGCCCCUCUAAUUUAAUGCCAGUCUUGAAAUAAACAGAAUGCUUUCCAAGUCAUCGCUAAUUUUAACACUUUAAAUUUAGAAUUGCUUAGAAUUGACUCAACACUGCCUCCUUGCUGAAUGGAUAAUUCAAGCAAACAACUCAAGAGCUGGAUGCUGCCCAGACAGAAGUCCUCCUAGCAUCUUUCUUCUGCCUUCCCCUGCUCCUGUCCCUGAAACCUUUUCUUCAAAAGAAGUGGAAAAGAGGAACUGGGAACCCAUAUAGCAACAGCAUCACCUGGAAUGAAUUCCUUUAGAACAUACUGUCUUGGAAAUCUGAAGCCUGCAGGGCUGGACAGGCAAGAAGAGCAGUGAGCACUGCAUGAACCUGCAUGUACUCCGAAAUAUUUUUCAAAUGGAAAAGAAAACAGAGAACACAAUUUUCAAAAUAUCUAGAGCCCUCCAAGAAGUCUUUGUAGAGAUCUAUAAAAUCUCAAGGCAAUUUAAAGAAUAGAAAAAUGUUUUAGAAACACUAUUCUCUCCACAUCCUGGGGCAGCAGCCUUCUCCAAAGAAACAGAAAGAAGGAAAUGGAUUGCCUUAGCAAAAAAACAAAUGAAGACACUCCAAAUAACAGAAGAAUGGGAAGGCUACAGACCUUGAAGUCAGAAGAAAAUUUCCUCUCCUUGCCCCGUUUCUCCUUAAAUGGAUCACCAGUACAGUCUCUUACUUCUAGAGCCAUGUUAAGCUUUCUUCCCCAAAGUUGUAAUGUCCUUCUUUUGGUUGUGUCGUGUCCUAAAAUCCUACUCUUUGGUACAAGAUGAAGGUAUAUGAAGAGAUAAUGAAGGAAACAAAUUCAAUGUGUUUGCCAAGAACACAGUCUUUUAAAUAACUCUUAAAGGGUUCGUUUAAAACAGUGUAAUAAAUUGUGGUAAUCUAGUACACAAAGCUAGUAGGAACCUCGUUUAUUAAUAAUAUUUCAACAUUGAGCAGUAGAGGGCAGCACUAUCCUUCUUUUGCAAAAUGUUGAGCACUCUUGAGAAGGAAAAUAAAGGCAAAGCUCCUGACCCCUGUGUCUGUGUUUACUUUUACCAUUAAAAAAAAACAAAAAAUUGGAGUAUUUUUAUUAUGGUUUAGGUGAUUAUGUAUAAAGAAUGUCAGAGCCUGCAUUACCUGGAAGUGGUGCACCAGGUAAUGCAAAAAACACGGAAGGUUUGAGGUCCCCCACUCAGGAUAUGGGUUCUGUCUAGUAAAGAUAAACAGUAGCUUGACCCUGGGUAAUCAGAUAGGGUUAUUGUAUGAACAGACCUAAUGCUCCUGCACGUUCUGGAUAGAAGUCAAUCUACUGAAAUAGCAGGAUGUAGUUUUAAAAAAUGUGUGUAACUCAUAUAGUCUUAGCCCUGAUAAGUGCUUCUAAAUUCUUAUUCACUGCCUUUAUUCUGCUGUGUUAGUGUUGCUCUCUGUCAUACGUGGGUCAGGUCAGAACUAGCUCAAAUACAGUAUGUGUAUUAUGACUUUAAGGAGUGGUGUCAGACAAGAUGGGUAAAGAAUGUCUUUCAUGGGACUGCAGUUGGCUAAAUGGCUGUGUAUAAGUAGUGAAAUUGAAGCCUUGUAUGCUCGUCGUCAUUCUAUCACAGUAUGAUUUGAGUUUCCCUAACCGGUAAACAGCAAGAAAAAAUGAUCUGUUAUUUUUUACUAAAGUUACUUGAUGCUCUUUAGCAAGCUGACAGAAUAAUUCUAAUUUUAGCAAAUACAAAACCAUGGUAAUCCUAGCACAUUUGGAUUCUGUUUAACCCUGAAAACUCUUUUGGCAGCAAAUCUUCAAUGCCAAUUUAGAUAAAUCCCACUAGGAAUAAGCACUGAAAGACGUUGAGUCUAGUUCCCAGCUCUGCCAUGUGAAGUUGGGCAAAUUACAGUCUCUGAGCUUUUAUUUCAUCUGUUAAAUGGAGAUAAUACCUCCUAGAUUUAUUAAAAGGGUCAAUUUAGAAAAUAUGUAUUAAAAUGGUUUGAAAGCCAUUUAAGUACCUAAUGAAUAUUUCUAUCACUGUAGCCCAAAAAGAUUCCUGCCUAGAAGACUUUAUGUCUCUUCUCCUCAUUUGGUAUCAUUCUAUUGCCUGAGAUUGUUAAUUAACUUUUAUGUAUACUCAAUAUUUUCUCCCAACUUGGUUGCUAGUUCCUUGAGAACUGAAACCAUCAAUUGCACUUCUUGGUAUCCUCCACAAUAAGGUAUCUAGGUACUCAAAUAUUUGUUGGUUGAUUAAAAACAUAAACCACAAGACAUAAUUAACUCUUUUUAAAAUUGUGGUAAAAAAACAUGUAUUUACCAUCUUAAUCAUUUUUAAGUAUACUGUAUAUUAGUGUUUACUAUAUGCACAUUGUUGUGCAACACAUCUCUAGGACUUUUUCAUCCAGAAUUCUUUUUUUUUGAGACAGAGUCUUGCUGUGUCGCCCAAGCUGGAGUUCAGUGGCACCAUCCUGGCUCACUGCAACUGCUGCCUCCCAGGUUCAAGUGAUUCUCCUGCCUCAGCCUCCCGAGUAGCUGGGAUUACAUGUGCCUGCCACCACGCCUGGCAAGUUUUUGUAUUUUUAGUAGAAAUGGUGUUUUACCAUGUUGGCCAAGACUGGCCUAGAACUCCAGACCUCAAGUGAUCCACCCGCCUCAGCAGCCCAAAGUGGUGGGAUUACAGGCAUGAGCAACUGUGCCUGGCCUAGCCAUUUUCUAUAAACCUGAAAAUAGAUGCCAGAAAAGAAGGUGCCGCUAUAAAAUGCUUUCUUGAGUGAUUUAUGUCUAACAUACAAUUAAACAUUUAUGAGAAGGAAAUUAUCAGGUUAAAAUAUAAACUCACUUGCCAAUUAUUUGAUUUUCAGGAUAUCUGACUUUUGUUAAUUACUGAAAAUAAAGUAUUAUUUCUAAUCACUA